CCUACGAGAGGCAGCAGUGAGGAAUAUUGGUCAAUGGGCGCGAGCCUGAACCAGCCAAGUAGCGUGAAGGAUGACUGCCCUACGGGUUGUAAACUUCUUUUAUAAAGGAAUAAAGUGAGGCACGUGUGCCUUUUUGUAUGUACUUUAUGAAUAAGGAUCGGCUAACUCCGUUCCAGCAGCCGCGGUAAUACGGAGGAUCCGAGAGUUAUCCGGAUUUAUUGGGUUUAAAGGGAGCGUAGAUGGGUUGUUAAGUCAGUUGUGAAAGUUUGCGGCUCAACCGUAAAAUUGCAAUUGAUACUGGCAGUCUUGAGGACAGUUGAGGUAGGCGGAAUUCGUGGUGUAGCGGUGAAAUGCUUAGAUAUCACGAAGAACUCCGAUUGCGAAGGCAGCUUACUAAACUGCCACUGACAUUGAUGCUCGAAAGUGUGGGUAUCAAACAGGAUUAGAUACCCGAGUAGUC
Molecule: ribosomal RNA, 460 nt
Filed under: uncultured bacterium
Lineage: Bacteria
Description: partial 16S ribosomal RNA
Rfam family: Bacterial small subunit ribosomal RNA
Source: RNAcentral